AUCUCGCGGGUGCGGUGGCAUGCUGGUAAUCCAAGUCACUGGGAGGUGAGGUUGGUGGAUCAAGUGAGCUGAGGAGCUUGGGCUGCAGCAGCACUAUGUUGAACGGGUGUCCACGCUAAGUUCGGUAUCGAUAUGGUGUUCCAGGGGGAGCCCGGACCACCAGGUUGUCUAAGGAGGGGUGACCGGCCCAGGUCGGAAACGAAGCAGGUCAAAUCCCGUGCUGUCCAGUAGUUGGAUAAUACCUGUGAGUAGAUGCUGCAGUGCAGCCUUGGCAAACAUCGAGACCUAAUCUUUU
Molecule: signal recognition particle RNA, 295 nt
Filed under: Oncorhynchus kisutch (coho salmon)
Lineage: Eukaryota; Metazoa; Chordata; Actinopteri; Salmoniformes; Salmonidae
Description: Metazoan signal recognition particle RNA (ENSOKIG00005022681.1)
Rfam family: Metazoan signal recognition particle RNA
About the family: The signal recognition particle (SRP) is a universally conserved ribonucleoprotein. It is involved in the co-translational targeting of proteins to membranes. The eukaryotic SRP consists of a 300-nucleotide 7S RNA and six proteins: SRPs 72, 68, 54, 19, 14, and 9.
Source: RNAcentral